This 483-nucleotide ribosomal RNA is filed under the name uncultured soil bacterium. Its description in RNAcentral is "bacterial SSU rRNA". It matches the Rfam family "Bacterial small subunit ribosomal RNA", at positions 26 to 507 of the family's 1533-position model. The record is from RNAcentral.
AGAUUGAACGCUGGCGGCAGGCCUAACACAUGCAAGUCGAGCGGCAGCACGGGUACUUGUACCUGGUGGCGAGCGGCGGACGGGUGAGUAAUGCCUAGGAAUCUGCCUGGUAGUGGGGGAUAACGCUCGGAAACGGACGCUAAUACCGCAUACGUCCUACGGGAGAAAGCAGGGGACCUUCGGGCCUUGCGCUAUCAGAUGAGCCUAGGUCGGAUUAGCUAGUUGGUGAGGUAAUGGCUCACCAAGGCGACGAUCCGUAACUGGUCUGAGAGGAUGAUCAGUCACACUGGAACUGAGACACGGUCCAGACUCCUACGGGAGCAGCAGUGGGAAUAUUGGACAAUGGGCGAAAGCCUGAUCCAGCCAUGCCGCGUGUGUGAAGAAGGUCUUCGGAUUGUAAAGCACUUUAAGUUGGAGGAAGGCAGUUACCUAAUACGUAUCUGUUUUGACGUUACGACAGAAUAAGCACCGGCUAACUCUGUG